GACGAACGCUGGCGGCGUGCUUAACACAUGCAAGUCGAACGGUGAACCCCUUCGGGGGGAUCAGUGGCGAACGGGUGAGUAACACGUGAGCAACCUGCCCCUGACUCUGGGAUAACCCCGGGAAACCGAGCUAAUACCGGAUACGACCUGCUCGGGCAUCCGAUGCGGGUGGAAAGNUUUAUCGGUUGGGGAUGGGCUCGCGGCCUAUCAGCUUGUUGGGUGGGGUAACGCCUACCAAGGCGACGACGGGUAGCCGGCCUGAGAGGGCGACCGGCCACGCUGGGACUGAGACACGGCCCAGACUCCUACGGGAGGCAGCAGGUGGGGAAUAUUGCGCAAUGGGCGAAAGCCUGACGCAGCGACGCCGC
Molecule: ribosomal RNA, 368 nt
Filed under: uncultured bacterium
Lineage: Bacteria
Description: bacterial SSU rRNA
Rfam family: Bacterial small subunit ribosomal RNA
Source: RNAcentral